RNAcentral lists this ribosomal RNA (253 nucleotides) under uncultured bacterium. RNAcentral's name for it is "partial 16S ribosomal RNA". It matches the Rfam family "Bacterial small subunit ribosomal RNA", at positions 524 to 776 of the family's 1533-position model. The record is from RNAcentral.
UACAGAGGGUGCGAGCGUUAUUCGGAAUUAUUGGGCGUAAAGGGCGCGUAGGCGGCCAUGCGUGUCUUCCGUGAAAUCCCUCGGCUUAACUGAGGACGUGCGGAAGAAACUGCAAGGCUUGAGUCCGGGAGAGGGGGGUGGAAUUCCCAGUGUAGCGGUGAAAUGCGUAGAUAUUGGGAGGAACACCGGUGGCGAAGGCGGCCCCCUGGACCGGUACUGACGCUGAGGCGCGAAAGCGUGGGUAGCGAACGGG